This 301-nucleotide ribosomal RNA is filed under the name uncultured bacterium. Its description in RNAcentral is "partial 16S ribosomal RNA". It matches the Rfam family "Bacterial small subunit ribosomal RNA", at positions 509 to 807 of the family's 1533-position model. The record is from RNAcentral.
CAGUAGCCGCGGUAAUACGUAGGUGGCAAGCGUUGUCCGGAAUUAUUGGGCGUAAAGGGCUCGCAGGCGGUUUCUUAAGUCUGAUGUGAAAGCCCCUGGCUCAACCGGGGAGGGUCAUUGGAAACUGGGAAACUUGAGUGCAGAAGAGGAGAGUGGAAUUCCACGUGUAGCGGUGAAAUGCGUAGAGAUGUGGAGGAACACCAGUGGCGAAGGCGACUCUCUGGUCUGUAACUGACGCUGAGGAGCGAAAGCGUGGGGAGCAAACAGGAUUAGAUACCCCGGUAGUCCCUGUCUCUUAUAC